This is a non-coding RNA of Acanthisitta chloris (rifleman), 114 nucleotides long. Lineage: Eukaryota; Metazoa; Chordata; Aves; Passeriformes; Acanthisittidae. The record is from Rfam.
CUUGGCUAUGGGGAUAUGUACCCCAAGACCUGGUCAGGCAUGGUGGUGGGUGCCCUGUGUGCCCUGGCAGGGGUGUUGACCAUCGCCAUGCCCGUGCCAGUCAUUGUCAAUAAC